Molecule: small nucleolar RNA, 134 nt
Organism: Dipodomys spectabilis (banner-tailed kangaroo rat)
Lineage: Eukaryota; Metazoa; Chordata; Mammalia; Rodentia; Heteromyidae
Product: small nucleolar RNA SNORA17
Exons: 1
Source: RefSeq, a predicted model, not a curated record
ACUGACCCUAGAGGCAACACAGGUGUGAGCACUGACUGUUCCCAUUUUCUGUCUAUGGCUGGCAGAGAGAAGAAAGACUGUCUAUGCUCAAGGUUCUGACCCAUGGAUAUGUGAAUGAUUAAUAGCCUGACAUA